Molecule: long non-coding RNA, 11336 nt
Organism: Hippoglossus stenolepis (Pacific halibut)
Lineage: Eukaryota; Metazoa; Chordata; Actinopteri; Pleuronectiformes; Pleuronectidae
Exons: 6
Source: RefSeq, a predicted model, not a curated record
GACACAGACAAAGACCAGAGGAUGUCCCACACUGACGAGCAACAUUAUUUUAGUGUGAUUUGAACUUUUGCUAGCUGUGAAGAAAGGUUGAAAGGAAAUUUAGAGAACUUAGGCAAGAUACCCAUAUAACACUGUUGUAGAAGUAGCCUCACAGCGGACAAACAAGUCAAGCAGCAGCUGAUUGAUUUCACCCGGGAAAACCAAGUAAGCAGCCUGUGGCGAUGACAAGAAAGAGAUGAAAAUGUCCAGGAGUGAAGCAGCUCUGAGCAGCACCUCAGCUGACCUGUAGCAGAGGACUUAAUAAGAGCCCUAGCUGUGCGAGUUCAUGCUCCAACAGAGGGACGGGAAUCAGAAGGUGUGGAAGAAAUAGACCAGAGCGCUGCCUAUGUGUGCUCAUGCUUAGAGACAGAGGAACGAGAAUCAGGUGGUGUGAACAAAACAGACCAGGUAAGAGCAAUACACACACACAAACACACAUAAACACAGACACAUCGGCAUAGUGCAUUCCAUAGCCGCUUACCCUACCCGUAACCACCUUGUUAAGCCUUAUGAGACAAAUUGUGAUUUGUGAAUAUGGGCUGAUAUGAUUGAUUGAUUGAUUGAUUGAUAACUAAAUGCCUAACCCUAAAAUAAAAUAAGACACAGAUACACACAAAAUACUGUCAGCCCCAUCGUCUUUUUUAUACUAGUGUGAAACAUGUAGGUGCUUAACAGAGUUUUGCAAGUGUAUGACACACCUGUGGAGCCUGAGUUUCCCUCACACAGCACACAGCUCAGCUCAACAGUUAAGCCAUAAUCCACAUCUGAGGAUCAACUCUGGGACCAACAAGAAAACUUUGAUUCUCAUUUCAUAUUUAGCUAAAACACACAAACAACAGAGAGCUUCACAACUUGGACAAUUAUUUUCUUAGUAUUUGAUUUUCAUAAAUCAAGAUUCCAUUGCAACAAAAGAUUAAAUUAAAUUUAUUUUUACUGAGAACAUUUUCCUUUUUACAGUAUACACAUGGCAUGAAACUUAAAACCACCAUAACCCGGGUAGGUGUUCUUCUAAAAUGGGAAUAAUGUGGUUGGUCUUUUGUUUUAUUUGUUUUAUUAGUUUUAUUUCUUUCUUUUUGGAUGUCGCUGUAGCAGAGUACAGCCAAUGUCACUCUCAUUUAUGUCAUGUUGUGCUAUGUUUUUAGGUUCAGGAUGUAAAUGUAACAUAUUUUAACAACAGCAUGUAAAUGUGUAAAAUAGAGUGUAAAUGAUUGAUAAUGGUUGGUCUGAUGUGUUCAUGGAAUGGCCACACAGCUAGGCUGCUGCAGGACCUGUCACAAAAUUCUAUGUAUAAAGAUAAAUGUAUAGAUUAUAUGAAGGCUCUCCAUAUUAAGAUGGAACAUGAGUAAUCAGUUGCCAAUAAGAAGGUCCACUCAUAGUAAAAUGUGUCUUGUGUAGACAUUUAAAAUUAAAUUGCAACAGGUCCUGCAAUCACCUAGGAAGAAAACCUCUCUACAGUAAAAACAGAAAGCGAAAGUUACAGAUAUUUGCUUUAUUUUCUGUGAUUGUAUUAGAUUGUACUUUUCAUUAUCUGAAGAACAGGAAAAAAGAAAACAAAAUGUUUCAAGCAGCUGUCAGAUAUUUCAGAUGGUAAAUGUGUGAAUUUAAGCAGAUUUGCAGACGACAGAAAGUAAUAGUUCUGUGGCAAUGAAUUGGAGCAAGCAACUUUGAUUUUGACCAAGUGUAGAGAGUAUGGAUGGAUACCUCUCAGAAUAUCUGCAUACUGUAUAUGAGUGUCUAAGCAGUCCAAAGCGUCUUUCAGAGAGAUCGUUCAGUGACUGAACAUGUAACAUUUGUAAAUCCAAGGGGUUGAGCAGAGUGAACAGGAGAGGCCAAUGCCUGGAUAAUUUGUUGUUUCUCAGUAGAUCCACUACGUACCGCAACAAGAAGAGGCAAGAGGAAUUGGUAGGUAUGUCAUCCUGAUUACAGUGCAAUACGUCUCGACUCUCUCAGACACUCACACAGAUAAAUAUCUUCCCACAUUACAAAUCCUAAUCACAACUAUCCACACAACAUGGAGAUGAUGAUUGUAAGAAAUGAGAAGUUUGAAGCUUGGUGUCAUGUAUGCAUACACACACACACACACACACACAGGAAGGCAUUGAGACAAGACUUCACGUGGGUCUGUGGUUUUGUGUGUGAGAGAGAGAGAGAGAGAGAGAGAGAGAGAGAGAGAGAGAGAGAGAGAGAGAGAGAGAGAGAGAGAGAGAUGGUCUUUCUUCUUAAUAUGGACUUGUUGGGCCCAGAGCAGAGGGAGAAGGACUAAAUAAAGGCGCCCUCCUCCUCUGCUGCCUCCUCACUGUGACUAGAAAAGGGAAUGUAUUUAGCCAGAAGGGUAGGGGGUGGUGGGGGUGACAGACUAUCAGUGGGAGCAAUCACAUCCUGGAGGAGGGAAUGUUUAUCCAAAGCAGCAAUCCCUUUUUCCAUGUUCCCUGAAAUGAAAGACUGUCUUGGGCCAUAUAUGGGCAGACUGGGAGUUUCCAGCAGAACAGAGUCCGAGCAUUCUCUUUCUGCUUCUGUCUUUAUAGGUCUCUCAUUGUGUUGUGAAAGAGAGUUCAAUUUCAACAUCUGUACAUUUGAUAUGAAUCCAAAGUAGAUGCCACUUAUAUUCCAAUUUCAUAUACUGAGACCUGAGGAAGCAAUUUACACCACUCCUUCUGUUCAGUCUCCAAGGUCCUGAGUCUUACAAUAAUCAGGUCUUUAAAUACUGAAUGACAAAACAUCAUGUAUAAGCUGCUGUUAUAUCCCACAAACAAAUGCAAGUCAAUCAACCUAAAAACUGACAGAUAAGAGCUGUGGAUGGUGGGCUAAAGCUAGAACUGUGCUAAGCCACCACACAAUAUCAACAGUAGGAAUACAAAAUGUUUGGUUACGUUAUGUAUACAGUGCAUGGACUCAUCUAUCUAAGCUGCUGUAGUGUAUGCCGGUGGCUCUACGAUCUGUAUCAUUUAGACAAACCAAACAGGCCCAGUUUUAAUUAACCUCCUACAGCUUGUAGUGUGAAGCAAUAUGGACCAAUAAGAUUGACUAAUCAGCCGAUUUAGAUUCUUUGGGGCUGUGAUCUUAAAUUUAUCUCAGUCUAAUAAUGCCCUUUUGGAUGGGAUUAUCAAAUUAUAAAAUUGUCACACUGACUACAUGAGCUGCAGCAGCACUACCUCCACCUCACUCAUAAGCACCUUGAUUUUGGUUUUGGAAAAGUUAAGAUAAGAAAUCAUUGAUCAGCAGGGUCAUUUAAUAUUGAUGAGGAGCUUUGGUUUGACCAUUUAUGUUUGAAUGUGGGAGUGUAGAGGGCAGGGUAUGAGGCAGACCAAUGUACCCUUUUUUCCAGGUGGACUGGGAUUUUUCAGCCGUGCAUCUGCAAAGUUUUUUAAAUCUGAUGAUUUGUUUUGCGUACGCCAUUUUCUGCUAUUGUGCGCAUGUUCACUUUUAGUUUGAAUCCUAUGCAAUGUUUUAUAAGUGAGUCUAAUGAUGUUAUAAUUAUAGAGGAAGAUAAAUACCCAGGUUAUCACAUCAUAUUCUGAACACAAUUAAAUCCAGUGUCAUACAGACAAAAAUAAUUCAAUGAAAAAUCAGUCCAUAGGAAAUCACCAGUGGAAUGUCUCACUUAAUUACACCAAAAUGACAGCCCAUGUGUAGCACAUGGAAUUAUUAAACUGUCUAAGCUGACAAAAUUUAUGCUGUCUUUAUUUUUUUUCUAUCCGUUGACGUGCUGCUCUUCCCUAUGGCCCAUGGUGCAGUGCUGCAUCUCUGGUCAGUUGGUAGUCUGAGAUGAAGCACUGUAGCUCGGGACGGAGGACAGAAAUAUCAAUCUGAGCAUGUCCACAGUCAUGUAACUGCAUCAAUCAGCAGGUAAAUGGUACAUGGACAUUAUUUAUAUAGUGCUUUUCUAGUCUUAUCAACCACCAGUGCUUAACACUACCAGCCACAUUCACCCAUUCACACACACACAUUCAUACAGCACUAAUAUAUGAUGUGCAUAAGUACCAGAUAUGUGGUUUUCUUGUGUUAGGGAGUAUGAUGUGAAAUGAUAUGAUGAUGCCAGUCGAGGAUGAUGUACGCCCACAUCGAGUCUGUUUCUGCUAGAGGUUUGUUCCAGUUAAUGAGGGAGUUUCUCUAUAAUAUUUAAGGUCUCAACCUUACUAUACAAGUGCCUUGAAAUACUGUAUGUUAUGAUUUGGCGCCAUACAAAUUGAAUUGAAUAUAAUAUGUUUCUAUUAACAUUAUAGAAAAAAAUGUUGUCAUAAAAUGUGGACUGUGUGCAAAUAACCAAGAGUCAGCAUUAUAUAUUUUGGUAUAGCUUUCCAAAAUGUGGAAAAUCCAGUUUAGCACUUUGCUUGUCUUUGUAAGUCGUUUUACCCUUAUAGAGCUAUAUCAACCGGCACCCCUUAUUCUAUUCCAUUAUUCUAUUCUAUCAUCCAAUUCUGUAAUUGUCCAUUGCAGUGAAAAGCCUUCAAUUCCAGCUUGUGAAUCCAUUCAGAUUAAUUAAUUUUACAACAUUUAAUCAAUAUUGCUUUAAAUUGUAAAUGGUCUGGAUUUAGAUAGCUCUUUUCUAGACUUGAAGAUCACUUUUUUGCAGUUUGACCCAUUUACACACAUUCAUAAAGUGCAUCUAUGUGCAGCACGUUCUCUAUCACACAUCACUCACACACUGUCAGCACAACUGUCAGGGGCAAUUUGGGGUUCAGUAUAUUGCUCAACGACACUUCAGCACAUGGAUUGGAGGAGACUAGGAUCAAGCUACCAACCUUUUUGUUAAUGGACGACCCGCUCACCUCCUGAGCUACAGCCACCUUAAUAAAAUGCAGAAACCAUUUUUGAAGUGGCACUAUCAGAAGAAGGAAAGAAAAGCACAGAUGUGGUCGUUUCUAAUGUGAAAUCAACAGCUGCAGUGCUGCAUGUGAAGAAUGGAUCCAUUGCUGUUGGUGUCAUGAAAAUAAUGGAUCAAAUCAAAAGAUUUAUCUCCUCUCUCCUGGGGUCCAGUUUUCCCAGGAAUCCCUUGACCUAUCAGAAAGGGGGAUUCCUGGAAAUACUGUUCUUGGGGGUGGGGCUUAUCAGCAAUUCCAUGGGCCAUAUGAUACACCAUGAUCUUGUUUGGUGCCAAUGUUUGACAACGCUAGGGCUAGAGUUGGUGUUAGAGAAACACUAAUCAUUCUUUCAGUCACAUGUGAUUCUCCGGGUGUCCUUACUGAGGGGCUGCAAUGUAAGCAGCCAGCGCACAAUAUGUCAUUUAAUAUAUGAAUACUGCUCAUUGAUCAAUAAACUGUCAAAACAAAGAAAUAAUUGAAUAUAUUGACUUUUAUUUUAUUAAAUUUUUGUAAUUUACAUUUUUGGGGCUUUUUUUGCCUUUAUUUUGGAUAGGACAGAGAGCUAGCUGUGAAGGGGGGCAGAUAGUGUGUGUGGGGGAGGACAUUCAGCAAAGGGCCGCUGCGGAUGAGACAUAUCUUCAAUAGGGUGGCAGCUCUACCAGGUGAGCUAUAUGCUGCCCCAAAUAUUUUGUCAUUCAUUGUAUUUGAAUCCUGCACUUUGGGAUUAGAGUACAAUAGGAAAAAUGCCUUGAAUUUAAAAUGAUUUAGAAUUUAAAUUAAUGAAUUUCAAACUUUCUUUUACAACCAGACUGUUGACACAGUAAAAAGGCAGCUUUGUCCAGUGACUUCUCACUCUGUCCCCACCAAAUCAAACCAAAUUAAAAGGAUUGGAGAGGCCAUGCAUGUCCUGCAUGCAAGUCAUUCAAUGCUGACUUUUUCAAAUUGUAAAAAUGCCAUUUCAUAAUGUUAUCACAUGAUGUCUUCUACACCACAUCUUGAUGAAUGUUUGCGUAAUUUAAGUGAAAUGUAUAUCGUGUCUCUACUAAUAUUGGUUUCAAAAGUUCAUGCAUUAUUAUAUUAUAGGGUGAAAUGUUAAAUAAUCUUUCUAACUUCAUAGUGUCAUCAUCAUGACAUAAUUCUUACCGUACUUAAUGAUAAUUUCUGAUCAUGUUUGUUUUUUGUCUGUAUUUCUAUAGAAUGUAGACAUACCGAAAAAAAAAAUUUAAACUAUGCAUUUUUGUCAUUUUCAUUCUGACUUCUUCAAGACGAAAUCUAUACUAUAUCAUUUGAGCGGGAUUAAUUUGUUUAUAAAUAAUGUCAUCUAUAAUAAAAUGUAAUGAAUGAAUAUUAUUAUUAUUGUUAGUUUACAGAGAAUAUGGAUAAUGCAUGUGAUUUGCUAUCUUACAAAAGAGAUCCAGAAAUAUCUCCCUGUUUGUCUGUCCACAGUUCCACAAUAAGGUUUUUUGGAUGAGUCCAAAUCCAAUCCAAGCCCCCCAUUUAAUUUAAACCACUUUCUAGGUACAGCGGUAACAUCUCAAAAGGUUGCUAUGUGAGUUUCUAUAUAGACCCCCUCACCCCUCUCAGAGUAAAAUCUAAUUGAACAAUGACAGCUUAAUUUAUACCCAUCUUCAACCAACUCUGGAUAGUGUAAAGACCUUUUACAUCUAUGACAUAAAGAAGGAAGGUAAUUCAACAGAUGAAGCCUUAUGCUCCCAGAUCCACAAAUAUCAGUGAUAAAAUGUUACUGAUAAAUGCUGAUAAUUUAAUGUUCGAAAGUUUAAAAAGAAAACAUGAUGAUAAAAUGAGCAAUGAUGUUUACAAAUGCCUACAAGAUUAACGUGCUUAAUAGGAAGUAAAGUAUGAUGUGUAUGUGUAGGUGCUGACGUUCCUGUAGUGAGUGAGUGUUGUUUUGAGGAAUUUACUAUACUUAGAAAAAACUAAUUUUGGGCCCUGUAAUGUUUACGUGGCUUGUUUGUUUAAAUUCUACAAUAAAAUAUUAUUUAAGUGCUUUUACUUCAAAAUGCUGUGUGUUAUUUAAUCUGCUACUUGAAGUUUGUUAGUAAUUAUGAAUCAUCAUUUUGAUAAGUAAUUUUUAUCAUUCACGCCAAGUAAUAUUAACUACCCUUCUGUAUUGACUGCACGACCCGACACAAUGAAGUAAUGUUUACUUGGGUAACGGGAAUGAAAUUCGAAACCCUCUUCCUGCUCAGCCAGUGAAGUAAGAGGACAGUUUGCGCUCCUUUCACACAAUAGGAUAGACACUGACCAGAGCAGCAGCACCUGACCCAGGACAGAUGUCUCCUGGAUGAUUUUAUAACUCAUUUGAUGAGACAGUUCAUGGAUGUGAAGCCACUGGGAACAAAGAGGAGUUAAGAAGGAUCACAACAUUUCCUCUCCAGCAACCAUUUUGUCAACAUUGGACACUGGUUUUUCGGACAAAGGACAGGGUGGCUUGCACGAAAAAAAGGUCUAUGCUGGACUCACUCAGGCAGCAACAUAUCAAAGGUAGACGAGACAUCAUAAUCCGCUGCUUAAUAGAGUAACUUGGAGAGUCUGGAGAGGAACUCAUCAAGGACUACCAGCAAGGAAGCCAAAGAGGUCUUUUCUCAUCAUGACUUUAAGAUCUGAAGGAAAUGCAGCACAGGACGGCCACAACCCCUGACCAUUGUUCUUGAUGACUGUUGCAAAUGUUUACCUUUUGCUCAAUGCCUUAAAGAACAGAAUUUGUUGGUAAUUAACUUACUGUAUUUCUUACAAAGCUAUUGCACUUUACAGUGAUACUUCAUUGAAAAUAUAAUCUCUGCAGAUGUACACGUUUUUCUGUUUAGUCAGACUGUCUGAGUGAUUUUCUGAAAGCUCUUGAAAUUGUUAAAAAGUUUUGGCCACACUGUUGAGCAUGAGGCCACUUUGUAUGGCUAAAAGAUUGUAUGUUCUGUUAUGGCAGUGGUUACAAAAUAUGCAAGCAUUGCAGGCUAGCUGAGAUAUGCAUACUUAAAGGCCUUAAGAGGUUAGUUUGGAUUAUUGUAUGUGUGAUUGUAUGAGGUCCUUAUCAAUAGUCAGUGUAUUCGCUACGUGGAGCAACAGCAUGGAAUAUAAGCAAUGAUGUGCCAUGGACGGGGUAAGCAAAAAAGGUAUUUUAGCAAGUUAAAAGACCAACUAAACGCCAUAGGAGAAAUCACAUAUUUGUGUUUGUGUUAUUGUGUGACCUUGGGAAUCUGAAUUGUCCCUAAAACACUGAAGUCACACAAUAAUACAAACAAACUAAGGAUCUAGGCAGUUCAUUACUGAGCUUCUGUGCUGGUGCCCGUCUCUGCUUCUUCUAACUGUGGAUGUGCUGACUGCUAUCUACUGUAGCUAAUACACUGACUACAGAAAAAUACCUGAUACAGCCACACAUUUAAUAAUCCUAUCAAACUGUUUAAGAGGUCAAAUGCAUCAGAAAGGUCACAUGUCCUAUUUGAAAAUGUUUUAGUCUGACUAGGUGUUUCAAAUGCACUGAUUUAGAUAUGUUUUAAUGCACACCAUAUUGUAUGUGUAAAAAGCAUCCCACAAGGAUUUAAGAUACAUUAGAUAAUGUUUGAUAUUCUUGAGGGAAUUAAUGAAAUGUGCUAUGAAGGGGGUUGAAUUAAGUUUUUAGAUCCUUUAAAAUAGUAAAAGUACAUACGCAUCAGCAGACAUAAGUGUGAGUAUAUUCAUUGUGAAAUCUUUAUCUUGAUCUUAGCAGCACAAGCUCUGUAAAAUAAAUGUAGUAGGAUGAGAGUAAAAUAAUGAUAAUGGAAAUAACGUAGAGCAACUUUACCAUUCAGAUAGUUAACGUAAGUUUCAUUGUAACAAAACACUAUACUGCAACAAAAACAAAAAAAAGAUACAUGACCUUCAAGUUCAGAUCCAAAGGAGAGCAGGGAGAGACAAACAGUCUCUAUACUUUCCUCUUCUAUUUGGGAAAAUAGAGAAUAAUAAUCACUACUGUUCAAAAUCAGCAAAAUGUAAAACACAGAUUAUGAUAUGAAAUUUUAAAUAAAUCUAAUUUAUUUAAAGUAACGCAGAUGAACGAGUACUCUCUGCAGGUUGCUGUGCCUCAUGUUCUAUUGUAUGAAAGGUUUAAAGCCAUUAACUAAGAAGUUACUGUGUUUUGUAUGAAACUGGUAAAACGGGAAGAAGUCGUCCACUACCAUUGGGUACUAAAGCGAAUGCCGUCAACCCCCUCCUAUUCCUCUCCUCCAGUUGAUUCGUAAAAACAAACUAAAAUCGCACACAACUUAAACUUCUCCAUCUCUCAAUCUUAGGGGCGAUUUGGUUAACUGAAUUUGACCUGUUGUAUGUCACAAACAUGGCUUACCCUGCAGGGGCCAAAGAUCCACACAGAAAAUCUGCUUUUUCUUACUGUAUUCCACACACUUGUAGUAAGUUGGAAUAUUCAGACUUUAAGUCUGUGUAUGGAACAAUUUGAAAUAUAAUGCAAAUAACUUUGCACAAAAUAAAUGCAUAAAUAAUCAUUUUUAAAUCAAUCCCACAAUUGAAUUUGUAUUACUCAAUCACUUAAGUUAUCGACAAUGAAUCCUAGUUUGGUUUGCACUCAUUAUUUCAAAUAAAACAAUUUAUAUAUAAUCCUUUUUUAACUUGUAGUUUCACUCUGCUGUCUACAAAAGAGAUACUAAAUGAAAUUUGAACAUAUUUAGUUUUUCCACAAUGUUGCACUUUGCCAAUUCACCAGUCAAAGUAAUUUGUACAGAGUCACACAUUCACAUGUUGCUGUGGUUGUGACAUGGUUAAAACACAUUAAAGAGAUUGGUGGCUACAUGACAGCCAAAGAGAGAAGCUGUAUACAGCUUCUGCAUUCACACCUAACCAUUAACAAGUCUUUUAGACAAGAUCUCUACAUAGUGCAUCUUAAUGUUGAACUUUCUCGCCUAACAAAGUGAAAAUAAAUGCUAAUGCUAAGCUACCUGCAAUUAGAUAGUAUCCCUUGCCUCCCAGAGCGAUAACAGUCAUGAUUCAAUCUCUGCUGGAAUGAGGUGUGUUAUAAAAACCACCAGUCCUUUCAAUACUCACCGAAUCCAAAACCAAACUGAACUGAUUAGUGGAGAUUUGUCCAGAAAUUGCAAGCUAUUAAUGAAAUUAAUCGUUCAGAUACUAAUUAGAUUUUUGCUUCAUUGCUGCCGGAUUCAAAGUAUUAUAAAGUUGUCGAUUUGAGCACAGAUUUAUCUUAAUUACACUACACCCAGACAGCCCGUACUUGCCUUUGUUCAGGGAAGGUCUGGCGGUGUAUGCAACAGUGGUAAAGCGUGACCUGAGGACCUGCGCCUGCCUGGUGGCAGCAUACUCUUGCUGUAUGCUGAUGACCUGUUGAUAGUCUCCCUGUCGAAGGACACUUGUCGCUGUUACUCUAUUUUGCUGUUGCAGAGACUUCCUGAAUGUGGUCACAGAGCAGGCCUGGCUAAGCUACAGAUCUGCUCGCCAGAGGUUACAUAUUUGGUAAACGGUCGGUUGUCUCAGGGCUGUUGCUCUCAAGAUUGAGAAAAAAUAUUUUGCACAUCUUGAACAUUUCUGCUACUCAGCACAUGACAGCAGCUUGUUAAUCUGGCUAUUAGGUGAUCAAGCCUCCACCUUAAAUUAAAGCACUCACCACUCCUAAACUCAGAGACUCUUCUUCCUAUGAUGGAUGAAAAUGAUGAACAUGACUGUGUUGUGGUUACUGAAAACUAGAGACCAGAUUUGUUGCAGACACCAAUACCAAACUCUGAUUUGAUUCUGUACAUGGACGGGUCAGUAAGCAGACCGUCUGACACAAAAUAACUUGCUGGCUAUGCUGUAAUAACUGAUUAAGAAGUGUUGGAAGCACUAGCGUUACCUUCUGGUACCUCUGCUCAAGCUGCAAUAUUGUACGCCCUUGCAAGAACUUGCAUUUUGGCAAAGAAGAAAGCUGCAAACCAUUAAGAUAUGCUUUUGGUUUUGAUUUAAGUAAAUUAUAAAGACAGGAGGUUGUCCAGUCUUUUACGCGAUCCCCGUGCCCACUGUCAUGAAUGGCCCAUCACAGGUGGUAGAAGGAGGAUCAAUAAGAUAAUAAGAUCACAAUGUUGCGCACCAGGCAUCACACAAGUUUCGCACACUUUAUUGGAAAGAUGCAUUAUUUGUCAGCAAACUGGGAGAAAGUACAGCACAGUGAAACACGAUAAUUCAUUGCGUCCCUUUAUAAAUACGGAAAUAGAUUUGUACAUGCGAAGCUAUUAGAGGUACAAAUACUUAAUUGUAGACCAGUUUUUUAAGUAGGUUGAAGCUUUCCCAACUAGGAGACAGGAUGCAAAAAAAAUUGUCAUUAAGAUCCCUUCAGUGGAUAGCUCAGGUCAGGUUGCCCACACACAUUGCCUAUUGCGCUUUAUUCCAUUCCAAGUACACCUAGUGCAAGCCAACCUUUGACACCCCAUAAAAACUCUGCUUUGAACUGAUAAGUAUAUGUCAGAGUAUGUCAAUAAAACUAACUAACUAACUAACUAA